CACAGGUGAUGUCAGACAGACAGGAGCCAAACCUCAAAUCCAUCCCUCCUCCCUGACUCAACUUAAAGGUUUAUACAGCCAGAAAGGAAAACAGAAGGGCAAGGAAGAGGAGUUGGCCAACAGGGAGCAGGUAGUCUUCAUUGUUCAAAUCAUCCUCAUCUGUGAAAUGAACCCAUUAGAUGAGAAUCAGUUGAUCUUUCAAUUCUGCAAACACUGUAUAGUCAGAGAUCAAUUGCAGAAAAUGGGAGCUAUCUGAACUGCAUGAAGUGAAAAUGGAUCUAAUCCAAGAAACUAAGAAAACUUUUGGAAAGGUCAAAAGAGCCAUGACACCAAAAACAAGACUCAGCAACAAUGCCCAAAACAACAACUCCGCAAGACAGUUGCUUCCUAUGCCACAAACACAGGGAUGCAUCACCUUACUGGUGUCAGGGUCAGAAGUUUCCUGUGCAACCACCUGUUUAGAGCAAGGUCACACUCUGUAGACAGACAUCCACCAAAAAAAACAUGGAACGUGGUUGUCCUGAGCCCUGCCUCUCAGCACCUAUGAAACCAAUGACCACCUACUAGAAUGCACUACGGGAAACUCAGUGUUUCCGUGGGCAUUGCCUGCUUAUCAGCAGAACCAAUGAAAGCAACAGAAAGUUAGCCUUAAUCCCCUUCAGAACCCUGGCUUCAGGGGCAUCUGGCACAUAUGGAUUUUUAUUUUCCAGCCCCUUCAUAUUAAAAGGUCACUAGAAGGAAGUUGGAAUGGAUGGUGAGUCCAGUGCGCUGUGUCUACCCCAGGUGCUUUGUGCCAGGCACUGUACAGGGCACCAGAGAUUCAAAGAAGCCCUAGACUCCAAGGAGCUUAGGGCCUAACUGUGUAGUCUAGAAGUGCAAUACAUUGGUGCUAUUGAGAGUUAAAAGUCAGAACUCAUGAUGGAGUCUCGGUCAUGAAAGAGCCCAAGGCAGGCAGUUGCCCCCAGAAUGACAAGACAACGUAAAGAGAGAAAAAGUAGCUUGAAGCUAUUCUUGAAAAGUCAGUCAGGGAGAGAAGCAAUCUAAGAGGAAAGAAGAGUAGGAACAAAGGUAUAGAGGAAUCUGUAGUAAUUUGAGAAACAGAGCAGAGCUGCAUGAUGUGCAGGGCCAAGACAGGGAUGCAUGGGAUAGGGAGAGUUACAAGCUGCAGAGGGGAGAGGUAAAUUAAGCAUGGUUUUUGCAAGCUAUGCUGAAGAUCUUAGAAGGGCCAACGGACAACAGUGAAAGAUUUUAAGCAGGAAAGAAAUAUGGACACCAUCAGACUGGUGUCAGAAACCCUGUAAAGAGAAACUAGAAUUCCAGAAAUCCAAAGACAAAGCCAGGAGAUUCUAAAGAUAGAGAGAGUAAGAAGAACAAGGAGAAGUGGGCAGAGCCAUAGUGAACUAGGGCCACACACGACACUUCAGUGAAAGGGUGGAGGUUCACCAAGCACAGCUACUCUUAGUGGUUCAUGUAGCUGAGUCAGAGUGAGAAGCUACUGGUCAAAAGUCAGUGCCCAGUGUAGCGUCACUGAGCAAGAACAGCCUCAUAACAGCUCCCUUCAUGGAACCCCUGCCUCACCUAAAAUGAAUGGAAAGUUCUAGAGGUGAGGAGCAAAUCUGGGAAGAGAGGAUGGAGAAAGGGGACAAGAAAAAUGGGGGAAAGGCAAAAAUUGGUGACUAUGUGUUUUCCCAAACCACACUGAAUUGCAUCAAAACACAGUCUCAACUCAGACCCCAGUCCACGUCCCUACUAUAAAAACUGACCAUGGUCCCUCAAAUCAUGAGCGGUUUUCUAUGAUCCCCUUGGACUUGCAUGGAGACCCUUGUUAGUGACUUUCAGGCUACCCCUUGCCCUCAGUCUUUGGGAAGUUUAUUUCCACCAUUGAAAAAAAAAACUGCCUCCUUUUUCCACCUCCCCCAUCCCACUGUGCAGGAACCUUGUCCUUCCUUAGCAAAACAUUUCCCCAAGUCCACAAAAGAAAGGGCAGGCACCCUGGAAGCGGAGUCUGAGACAGAUUUGGAUGCACUUAAUUUAUUGGAAGAGGGAUAUCAGGAGAAAGAAAGUGAGAGGAGCAGACGGGGCAGAGGAAGGGCCUGAUCAAGGAUUUGGCUCAGCUGGAACCUAGCAGGGAGUUCUGAGCGUGAAUUGAACCAUCCUGAGAAAAGAGAGCCAGUCUUUUGUACCACCAUGUCAGUCACUGGCUGAAGGCUGCCCUUCUUCAGCAAGAACACAUAACCUCCCAGAGAAGGUGGCUCCCCCUCAACUAACGGCAAUUUUGAGGAGAAGAAGCCCCCUCUAGCAGCCAACCCACAGAGCAGAUGGAUAAAUGGUGCUGCUUCCUUGGAAAGGGCAUCUGGGAAGGGCACCAACAGCAUCUAGGGCAGGGGAAAUGCUCAUUUCAUCAAGCUUGUUGCACUGGAUCAGUUUUUCCUCUCUAUGCCUGUCUUCCAGAAGACUCUCUGCAAGAGCUGAAGGAGCCCUGACCUUGGGGUGAAUAAGUGAAGAGCAGAAUUGGUCCCACUCGUCUCUUUCACAUGGCCAUGGGUAUGCCAUGAAUCCAAGCAGGUCUUCUGGGACACAACUUCUCCAAGCAAUGAGCUCACCACUCCCUGAGCCUCCACUCUCUGGCUGAGCCCAGGGAUCCACGCUCUGGCUGAGCCCAGGCCCCAUGAACCUGCACCCCCCACAGCUUCUUCUCCACAGCAGAGUCCAGUGGCCCCACUGAUAUUUGUCUUGGCUGCCCCAAGGACUAGCAGAGACGUUCCUCCCAAGUUGAUAGGGCCCUUUUAGACAACUUUGCAUGAGCACGGUUCUUCUAGCUGAGCUGCAAGCAACCAUAUGAACUGCUUCUCUAGCUCAAGAUAUGACAUGAGCGUCUUCUUUCAUAUUGUUUUUAACUGAUCAUUCAUGUCCUGCUAUGGGAAGUUUAGCAUCUCUCUCAAGGAUGCUCCUCCUCAUCAAUUUUCUAAGAACUGCAGAGCCUGAAUCAGUUUACGGGGGCAUCACUGCCACUUCCAAAUGCAAAUAAAAGGGAGAAUUGGAGUGCCACCAAUUUCUGAGGCUAUAACUUUUCAUUUUUGUCGGUGUCAAAGACUGGACCAAUACAUCUUUGUCCCCUGCUAAUGAAUGUUCUUGGCCCAGAUGCAGUGAUGGCCCCGUGUUUGAGAUACCAGGUUGCAGCUAUCUUGGUUUACAAGGCCGCAUGCAAUCAUCAUAUCCCAAAGACUACUGUGAUAGAGGGCUCCCAGCCACACACAUGUCAGACCAGAGCAAGUUCUCCCUUACCAAGGUCCCUAGGUCUUCAUGCUUAACCCCAUCCUCGGCCUAGUUCAUUCCAACCCUGGAACCUCAUUGUCCUUCCCGACCCCUGGGCUUGGUUCACACCAACAGAUUUCCCUAACUCUGAAUAUCCAGGAACAGCAGUUGGAAUCUUUAUGCCUUCUCUCUCAGAGGAUCCUGAGGCCCAUAUGCAAAUAAAUUCUUCCACCCACCCAAAGAUCUGUACACCAAGAGGAAGCUUCCCCUCAGCCUCGAAAAACAAAAGACUUAUGACAGACACUUUAUGGUUGUCUUCUAUGCUGUUCAUGAAAUAUUUCUGGUUCUUCCUUCUUUCUGGUACAAAUAGAAUUGCACUUCUCUGCCCAUUUGUGGUUGGGAUGUGGCAAUGUGACCAUGUCUGGUCAAUGAGGUGGAAGUACAAGUGACACAUAUCACUAGGCUGGCUAUAUAAUUUACAGAGCCAGCUGGCGCAAUGGCUCACACUUGUAAUCCCAGCAUUUUAGGAAGCUGAGGCAGAUGGAUCACUUGAGUCCGAGAGUUCAAGACCAGCCUGGGAAACAUGGCAAAACCCCAUCUCUCCAAAAAAUUGUUUAAAGAUUAGCCGGGCAUGGUGGUGCGUAUAGUCCCAGCUGCUCAAAAGGCUGAGAUGGGAGGAUCGCUGGAGCCCAGGAGGCAGAGGUUGCAAUGAUUCGUGAUCACAUCACUGUACUCCAGUCUGGGCAACAGAGCAAGACCUUGUCUCAAAAAAAAAAAAAAAUAGAUAUUUCUGAUGAAGAAAGUAGGACACAAGUGAAAAACAACAACAAAUUACUUUUUCAAUAUGUGCACAGGUGCACAGGUGCACCUGGUGCACAGAAAAAAAACAAAAAACUUAAAAAAUAAAUUUACAGAGUCAAGUGCAAAAUGAAAGUAAGAAUCUUCUUGUUCAAAAAUGUAUUAAUAAUUUUGAGAUGGCAACAGCAGAGCAUUAAAACAAGCUCCUGGGCCGGGCGCGGUGGCUCACGCCUGUAAUCCCAGCACUUUGGGAGGCUGAGGCGGGCAGAUCACGAGGUCCGGAGAUCGAGACUAUCCUAGCUAACACGGUGAAAACCCAUUUCUACUAAAAAUACAAAAAAUUAGCCGGGCGUGGUGGCGGGCACCUAUAGUCCCAGCUACUCGGGAGGCUGAGGCAGGAGAAUGGCGUGAACCCAGGAGGCGGAGCUUGCAGUGAGCCAAGAUUGCACCACUACACUCCAGCCUGGGCGACAGAGUGAGACUCCAUCUCAAAAAAAAAAAAAAAAAACAA
This is a long non-coding RNA of Pan troglodytes (chimpanzee), 4564 nucleotides long. RefSeq lists it as uncharacterized. Lineage: Eukaryota; Metazoa; Chordata; Mammalia; Primates; Hominidae. The transcript is spliced from 2 exons. The record is from RefSeq and is a predicted model, not a curated record.